UUUUAAAUUAAAUGCAUUGGGGUGACAUUGGUUAAUAAGAUUAUAUAGGUUUCAAGUGUACAUUCCUAUUAUACAUGAUCUGUAUAAUGCAUUGUGUGCCCAUUCAUUGAAGUUUUUA
Myotis brandtii (Brandt's bat) is the source of this 118-nucleotide long non-coding RNA. RefSeq lists it as uncharacterized. The transcript has 3 exons. NCBI's taxonomy places the organism in Eukaryota, Metazoa, Chordata, Mammalia, Chiroptera, Vespertilionidae. The record is from RefSeq and is a predicted model, not a curated record.